This is a long non-coding RNA of Anabas testudineus (climbing perch), 1691 nucleotides long. Lineage: Eukaryota; Metazoa; Chordata; Actinopteri; Anabantiformes; Anabantidae. The record is from Ensembl.
AAAACGUUGCGUAGCUGCUGAAGUUUCACUCCAAGUUGGUCGAGACAGAAUGAGACCAAGUGAACCUCUAAACAUCACAAGGUUUGUGAUUUGAAAUUUAUCAAAUACUUGAUUCAGUUCAGAGCAGGAAACUGAAAUUGUUCCUAUUUAAAAUGAUGAGGGAGGACAAGUAAUGUUUUUAAACUCCAUCAGAGAAACAUGAUAAGAAGUUAAAUUGAUGAAUAAGUGGACGGUUCACAGACAGAGUUUGACAAACUGUGUAAAAUGUGACGAGCUGACAGUUUAAAUGAAGAACAGCUGGUGUCUGGUUAGAAUAAUGUGUCUUUCUCUGGGAGGAGUCAGGAACUAGUUAUUAGCUGUUUAUUCCCAUUCUGACCUGAGCUGUUGUCUUUGUGUGGAGUUUGUCCAUAAAGUCAAACACUAAGAAAAGGAAACAUGAAGUAUUCUUCACAGUACAAGUACACCAUCAACAGUUUUUAGUGUUUUCCAGCAGAGGGCGCUGAUUCCACUAAUUAAUACUGAAUCAACAGAGUAGAUGAAGAUGUUCUAAUGUAAAGUGUUCAAUCAAAAACCAAACAACCAGGAGUCGAUGUGGUUUUGAUUCAGUUUCCUCUGUUUUUCUUCUUUUCCUCUGAUCUGUCUGAUUCCAUUUCUCUUUGAUCUGAUGUUUGUGACUCUUCACCUCUGUCUCCUCUCACAGGGAGAAGAUGAUCUUCAGGAUCCUGCUGCUCAUCAACCUGAUCUCAUGUGUCUCUGGAACAUUUGUAGUGAAUGUGACACAGACCUCCUAUCAGGCAGAGGAGAACCACAACAUCACACUGGAGUGGACGUUCACUUUCAGACCUCACACAUCCUCUAACUCAGUAAACAUCUUCUGUGACAUGUUUACUGACCACAGUCACUUAGUCCUGUUUCACCUCCAUGAAGGUGUUGAGGUCUCAGAGACUUAGGAUCAACAGUUUUCAGGAAGAGUCCAGUUUGACAAAGACGUCCUCAGAGAAGGACGAAUCAGACUCCGACUGUCCAGACUCAGGACUAAUGACUCAGGACUGUACCUGUGUGAAGUGAAAACAGAUCAAGGUUGGAGCUCUGACAGAUGUCGACUCAACGUCACUGGUGAGUUGAUUUUUAUUGAACUCAACAGCAGCAGCUCAAAAAUACUGAGAUUUUAAAUUUACAGUGAUAAAAACACAAAAGAAGCAAAGAACCAACAAACAUUCAGAUUUUCUGUUAAUAAAGAAUUUGUGAUCAGCACAAAUCUAAAAUCUUGUGAUUGUGAUUCAAAACAUUUUCCUCAGCUUCUUGUCCAGAGUGAAACUGAAGAAGCUACGAAGCUGUUUAUUUCUAGAUUUGAUUCUCAGCUAAGUGAACUGAUCGUUAGCUGCAGACACUAAAUCUUCUUCAGUGAAACUCAGCAAGAAAAUGAGUGAACACAUCAUUUAGAAAUGUCUUUAUUUUGUCAGCUUCUGAUUCUCUGUUUAAAUCCAGAACUGUUCCAUCCAGUACAGUAGUUACUGAUGUUGAACUACUGAACAUCUGGAACUGUUUGAUCAUCCAGAUCAUCAUUUAAAACUACAGAUGUUCCAGAUGCUCUUUUUACUCUGUUUCAUUUCUUUCUAUUUGCUCAUAUUUCUGGAGAGUUUCUCUGUGACCUUUGACCUUUUGGACAUUUCCUGUCAGCUGUUAAUACA